CUGCCCGACCUCUCCUGCCCAAGGCCUGGGGGUCCGCUGCGCAGCGCCGCUCAGUGUUUUGGGUGCCGGCAGGACUGGUGCUGCGGGUGGACGGCGGGGUAGGACUGCGGGGCACUCUCACCCCCCCAGCCUUCGGCGGGGCUGGAGCCCGCGUGUCCGGCGAGGCCCCGGGGGCUGGGAGCGGGGCCGAGCUUGGGCCGGGAAGCCGGACGCCAGGCGGGCGCGGCGCUGGAGGGCGAGCGGGUCUCCCGCUUCCUCUGCAGAGCCCCGCGGACCGGAUCGCUGGCUUUGCUCUGCGCCUGGCGAGGCCCAUAAUGAGGACCUUACAACCAGAGAGACCUGCAAGGCUGGGUUCUCUGAAGACGAUUACACGGCAUUAAUCUCCCAAAAUAUUCUAGAAGGGGAGAAGCUACUUCAAGGUAGGGCGGGGCGUGGAGGGGUGGGAGUGAUUUGCUGCCAUGCUUUUCCUUGGGGAAACUUGUAGAGGGGAG
Molecule: long non-coding RNA, 491 nt
Filed under: Rhinopithecus bieti (black snub-nosed monkey)
Lineage: Eukaryota; Metazoa; Chordata; Mammalia; Primates; Cercopithecidae
Description: lncRNA (ENSRBIG00000046565.1)
Source: RNAcentral